GCCAGGUGUAGUGGCUCAUGCCUGUAAUCCCAGUGACUUGGGAGGCUGAGGCAGGAGGAUCACAAGUUCAAAGCUAGCCUCAGCAACUUAGUGAGACCCUGAUUCAA
Molecule: small RNA, 107 nt
Filed under: Marmota monax (woodchuck)
Lineage: Eukaryota; Metazoa; Chordata; Mammalia; Rodentia; Sciuridae
Source: RNAcentral